This is a long non-coding RNA of Daphnia pulicaria, 501 nucleotides long. RefSeq lists it as uncharacterized. The record is from RefSeq and is a predicted model, not a curated record. The transcript is spliced from 4 exons. NCBI's taxonomy places the organism in Eukaryota, Metazoa, Arthropoda, Branchiopoda, Diplostraca, Daphniidae.
GCCGCUGAAUUGUCAAGGUACCGAGUUCGAAUUGCAGUCUGGCACGAAUCACGUUGAGAGUGGACGGUCGCAGUCGAUUGCCGGAUGUGGUCGGAUGCGCUAGAGGAUUUUACCGUGUUUAUCCAUUCAUGAAGGAAGCAAAAAUUUGCGGGCGCAUUGGCGACGUUCCGCCUUUCCAGUGGUAUGUCGACAACCACCAACCAAAAGAUGUGACCAUUAUUAUGGAUAAUACAGGAAUCGGUGACGGAAACCCUGAGGGCUUGUCAUUUACCCUUCAAGGUGAAUGUGUGAAUGACAAGAUGAUUGGAGUCAGAAAGGAAAACGUCAGAUUCAGUCGACGAUGAAUAAAUCGACAAAUCGAAGAUUUUGAAGCCGGAGAAGGGCCUAGAAUAAUCAUCAAGCCCAGCCAUGGUCUCAAACAUCAAAUUCCCGUUACAAAAGUACCAAAAACUACUUCAACUAGCACAGCACCAACUAAACAACCACCUGUUUUUAACGAUA